This is a small nuclear RNA of Molossus molossus (Pallas's mastiff bat), 104 nucleotides long. The record is from RefSeq and is a predicted model, not a curated record. NCBI's taxonomy places the organism in Eukaryota, Metazoa, Chordata, Mammalia, Chiroptera, Molossidae.
GUGCUUACUUUAGCAGCACAUAUACUAAAAUUGGAACAAUACAGAGAUUAGCAUGGCCCCUGUGCAAGGAUAACAACAACAAAAAGUAUGUGAAAGCUAUUACA